CCAAUAGCGUAUAUUAAAGUUGUUGCAGUUAAAAAGCUCGUAGUUGAAUUUCGGGGUUAGUAGAUUGGUCAUGCCUCUGGUAUGCACUGGUCUCACUGAUUCCUCCUUCCUGAUGAGCCGUAAUGCCAUUAAUUUGGUGUUGCGGGGAAUUUGGACUGUUACUUUGAAAAAAUUAGAGUGUUUAAAGCAAGCUAACGCUUGAAUACAUUAGCAUGGAAUAAUGAAAUAGGACGUUCGAUCCUAUUUUGUUGGUUUCUAGGAUUGACGUAAUGAUUAAUAGGGAUAGUUGGGGGCAUUAGUAUUCAACUGGCAGAGGUGAAAUUCUUGGAUUUAUUGAAGACUAACUACUGCGAAAGCAUUUGCCAAGGAUGUUUUCAUUAAUCAAGAACGAAAGUUAGGGGAUCGAAGACGAUCAGAUACCGUCGUAGUCUUAACCAUAAACUAUGCCGACUAGGGAUCGGAUGAUGUUAAUUUUUUAAUGACUCAUUCGGCGCCUUACG
Molecule: ribosomal RNA, 500 nt
Filed under: uncultured Glomeromycotina
Lineage: Eukaryota; Fungi; Glomeromycota
Description: partial small subunit ribosomal RNA
Rfam family: Eukaryotic small subunit ribosomal RNA
Source: RNAcentral